AGCGUCAACGUGCAGGUACGAGCACCCCUGCCGAGCGCUCACGUCGGCUCGUGUAUCGCGAGUGCAUAGAGUAAAAACGCGUUUCCGUUUCCGGGUAAAAAGUGCGUUUCUGGCUGAUUAUGCUCCCGUUUCCUGUUGAUGGGUUUCCAGCUGCCUUCCGCGGAACUGCCAAAAAUCGGCUGCGUCGUGCGUUUUUCGUUCUGUUCGGCGUCCUCUGUGCCUCCAGUUUCUCUGACGCUCGGAAUUAGGAGUAAGAUGCCUCUGAGGGACCUGCGGAAGUACUGGAAGGGGAAGCAAGCGGUAAUCGUAGCGGACAGCGGAGGAAACCCAAAGGACAUCGAAGCGCAAAAGGCCCCCGACGACCCUUUGAUCAUCGACGAGAAAACCUCUGCAGAGAACACACUCCUCAACGGCACGAAAUGCUCUCUCCCGAUUUUCCAGGUGUGGCCAAGUCAGGACUCGCCACGAGGGGAAGCCGAUGGACAAAGUUUCGUGUUCCAUUCCGAGGAUGGCUACUCUUCGACAGGACAGAAUGACUCCGGCAUUGAUUCUGUACAGGCGAGUCCCUCGCCGGUGCCGGCGGCGCAGAUCUCUCCCGGGGAGCGGUCCUCGCCGACGCCCUCCUCCAAGUACCGUCGGAAGUCGAGCACGUUCCUGCACCCGGACCACGCGCGGCUUCUCCGCUCGACCGGGCUCGGGACGGCCGCCUCCACGCCGGACGCCUCCGCCGACGAAGACUCCGAGUUCCACGGGAACCAGUCCGGCUCGGCCUCCUCCUCGACGGCCUCCUCGCUCACCUCGGUGGCGGCCGCCGUCGCCGCCAUCGGCGCCCGCCACUCGGACCCGUGGGAGCGCGACCGCCGCCGCUCCUCCACCGUCACCGCCCGCUACUCCCUCCUGGACGCCCUCGACCUGGAGUACGCCCUCAUCCGGGCGGCCGCCCGCGGGAGCGUCGGGCCCUACUCCCUCUCCGAGUCCCUCCACAAGCUCACCUUCACCCAGAGCCUCGCUUUCCCGGCGCUCGCUCGGGGGCUCGCCAGCAAGCGCCGCCCAUCCCAGGUGCGAACAACCCCUUUGGACCCAGCCGACUCGGGUCUCAACGCCUUCGCCAAGAUCGUGACAGCACUGGUGUUGAUGUUCGUAAGUGUCAUGGUGUUCGCCGUGGUGUACAAGUUCGUGAGGACGUGAGGGUUGCUGCUGUCCCACGUGCAGGGGCAGCCGAACGAGUUCUACAACCAGUCGGACGCAUCACCGCUCCGGUAGCCCUCGUGGCGUUGCCCGCCCAGUGGGACAGCCUAUCUACACCCGUGGAACAGCCUAUCUACAUCCGUGAAACAGCCCAUCUACACCCACAUUCCGUUGUAAAAAAGUGUUUCUUGCAAGUGUGGACAAUCAUCGCGUGCAGUGUUCGAAACUAAACGUUGAGUUUUAGGAGCCAUGUGGCGCAUCAAGCCCGAUUUUUAUGCGCCAUUGAAGAUUUUUUAGGGGCCAA
Molecule: long non-coding RNA, 1492 nt
Filed under: Bemisia tabaci
Lineage: Eukaryota; Metazoa; Arthropoda; Insecta; Hemiptera; Aleyrodidae
Description: lncRNA ENSSSA3NGG013335
Source: RNAcentral